This 482-nucleotide long non-coding RNA is filed under the name Equus caballus (horse). RNAcentral's name for it is "lncRNA (ENSECAG00000054056.1)". The record is from RNAcentral. Lineage: Eukaryota; Metazoa; Chordata; Mammalia; Perissodactyla; Equidae.
CUGAAACCCUGAGUCAGAACCUAGAGAAACCUAGGAUAAAAGGAAGUCACAGGCAUAGAACAAUUGGAAGUCUCACUGAGGAAAGAAUGCUCUGCCUCAGACCCGGACAGUCGGCACUCCCCCGCACCAUACAAACUACUGGGACUUCCCUGGCUGAUUGCGGUGUGGAUGUUUUUCAGAUUUAAAAUGUCCAUGCAGCUCAGAAGAGCACUUUGUAAUAUUAGAAACAGAAACCCCAUUCUAUCAAGCCAGCUGCUUCAGGAUGGUGGGGAACAUGAUAUGACCAGUGAAUUCCAUGAGCAAGGACCCAUUGCUGCACUUCUUUUGCUGUGAAGUGAAAUCCAUGAUCAGAAGCAAUGUUGUGUUGAAUACCAGAACGGUGGAAAAGGCAUUCUGUAAGUCCACAGGUCCACAGAUGACUCAUCAACGAGGAAGGAAAGAGCAAUCACACAACUGGCAAGAGCCAGCAUACACAGCACACC